GGGCCCGCACAAGCGGCGGAGCAUGCGGAUUAAUUCGAUGCAACGCGAAGAACCUUACCAAGGCUUGACAUAUAGAGGAAAAGUGCAGAAAUGCACUCCCCGCAAGGUCUCUAUACAGGUGGUGCAUGGUUGUCGUCAGCUCGUGUCGUGAGAUGUUGGGUUAAGUCCCGCAACGAGCGCAACCCUCGUCCUAUGUUGCCAGCACGUAAUGGUGGGAACUCAUGGGAUACUGCCGGGGUCAACUCGGAGGAAGGUGGGGAUGACGUCAAAUCAUCAUGCCCCUUAUGUCUUGGGCUUCACGCAUGCUACAAUGGCCGGUACAGAGGGCUGCGAACCCGCGAGGGCAAGCG
This 350-nucleotide ribosomal RNA is filed under the name uncultured bacterium. RNAcentral's name for it is "bacterial SSU rRNA". It matches the Rfam family "Bacterial small subunit ribosomal RNA", at positions 917 to 1269 of the family's 1533-position model. The record is from RNAcentral.